Molecule: ribosomal RNA, 442 nt
Filed under: uncultured Eubacteriaceae bacterium
Lineage: Bacteria; Bacillati; Bacillota; Clostridia; Eubacteriales; Eubacteriaceae
Description: bacterial SSU rRNA
Rfam family: Bacterial small subunit ribosomal RNA
Source: RNAcentral
CCUACGGGGGGCUGCAGUGGGGAAUAUUGCGCAAUGGGGGAAACCCUGACGCAGCAAUACCGCGUGAGUGAAGAAGGUUUUCGGAUCGUAAAACUCUUUUAUUGGGGAAGAAGAAGUGACGGUACCCAAUGAAGAAGUCCCGGCUAACUACGUGCCAGCAGCCGCGGUAAUACGUAGGGGACAAGCGUUGUCCGGAAUCACUGGGCGUAAAGGGCGCGUAGGCGGUUUUAUAAGUCAGAUGUGAAAGGUACCGGCUCAACCGGUGACGUGCAUUUGAAACUGUAAGACUUGAGUACUGGAGAGGCAAGUGGAAUUCCUAGUGUAGCGGUGAAAUGCGUAGAUAUUAGGAGGAACACCGGUGGCGAAGGCGGCUUGCUGGACAGAUACUGACGCUGAGGUGCGAAAGCGUGGGGAGCGAACAGGCUUAGAUACCCCAGUAGUC